CCUACGGGUGGCAGCAGUAGGGAAUAUUGCACAAUGGGCGAAAGCCUGAUGCAGCAACGCCGCGUGCGCGAUGAAGGCCUUCGGGUCGUAAAGCGCUUUUCGGGGAGAUGAGGAAGGACAGUAUCCCCGGAAUAAGGCUCGGCUAACUACGUGCCAGCAGCCGCGGUAACACGUAGGAGCCAAGCGUUAUCCGAAUUCACUGGGCGUAAAGCGCGUGCAGGCGGAUCAACAAGUUGGAUGUGAAAUCUCCUGGCUCAACUGGGAGAGGACGUUCAAUACUGUUGGACUAGAGGGCGACAGAGGGAGGUGGAAUUCCCGGUGUAGUGGUGAAAUGCGUAGAUAUCGGGAGGAACACCAGUGGCGAAGGCGACCUCCUGGGUCGCACCUGACGCUCAGACGCGAAAGCUAGGGGAGCGAACGGGAUUAGAUACCCGGGUAGUC
This 441-nucleotide ribosomal RNA is filed under the name uncultured bacterium. Its description in RNAcentral is "partial 16S ribosomal RNA". It matches the Rfam family "Bacterial small subunit ribosomal RNA", at positions 338 to 795 of the family's 1533-position model. The record is from RNAcentral.